Small nuclear RNA from Suncus etruscus (white-toothed pygmy shrew), 108 nucleotides. Lineage: Eukaryota; Metazoa; Chordata; Mammalia; Eulipotyphla; Soricidae. The record is from RefSeq and is a predicted model, not a curated record.
GUUGACAAAAAAUAAAUAUAAGUUCACCCAAUGAAACAAUACAGUGAAGAUUAGCAUGGCCCCAUGCACAAGGAUGACACACAAAUUCUUGAAGCAUUCCAUAUUUAA